UACGGAAGGCAGCAGUGGGGAAUAUUGCACAAUGGGCGAAAGCCUGAUGCAGCUAUGCCGCGUGUAUGAAGAAGGCCUUAGGGUUGUAAAGUACUUUCAUCGGGGAGGAAAAAACAAAACUAAUAAUUUUAUUUCUUGACGUUACCCGAAAAAGAAGCACCGGCUAACUCCGUGCCAGCAGCCGCGGUAAUACGGAGGGUGCUAGCGUUAAUCAGAAUUACUGGGCGUAAAGAGCACGUAGGUGGUUUUUUAAGUCAGAUGUGAAAUCCCUGGGCUUUAACCUAGGAACUGCAUUUUGAAACUGAAAUACUAGAGUAUCGUAGAGGGAGGUAGAAUUCUAGGUGUAGCGGUGAAAUGCGUAGAUAUCUGGAGGAAUACCUGUGGCGAAAGCGGCCUCCUAAACGAAUACUGACACUGAGGUGCGAAAGCGUGGGGAGCAAACAGGGAUUUAGAUACC
RNAcentral lists this ribosomal RNA (457 nucleotides) under uncultured bacterium. RNAcentral describes it as "bacterial SSU rRNA". It matches the Rfam family "Bacterial small subunit ribosomal RNA", at positions 340 to 786 of the family's 1533-position model. The record is from RNAcentral.